AAAAAAUCAGAACCAACUUUUCUUAGUACACAGGUUAAAGAACAGC
This 46-nucleotide unclassified non-coding RNA is filed under the name Komagataella phaffii CBS 7435. Lineage: Eukaryota; Fungi; Ascomycota; Pichiomycetes; Pichiales; Pichiaceae. The record is from RNAcentral.